CCAAUAGCGUAUAUUAAAGUUGUUGCAGUUAAAAAGCUCGUAGUUGAAUUUCGGGAUUGACGUGACGGUCGUGCCUUAAGGGGUAUGAACUGUUACAGUCAAUUUCUCACCUUCUGGAGAAAUAUGAUGUCCUUAAUUGGGUGUCAUAUGGAACCAGGACUUUUACCUUGAAAAAAUUAGAGUGUUUAAAGCAAGCUUAUUGCUCGAAUACAUUAGCAUG
Molecule: ribosomal RNA, 220 nt
Filed under: uncultured Entrophospora
Lineage: Eukaryota; Fungi; Glomeromycota; Glomeromycetes; Entrophosporales; Entrophosporaceae
Description: uncultured Claroideoglomus partial small subunit ribosomal RNA
Rfam family: Eukaryotic small subunit ribosomal RNA
Source: RNAcentral